Molecule: unclassified non-coding RNA, 372 nt
Filed under: uncultured Marinifilaceae bacterium
Lineage: Bacteria; Pseudomonadati; Bacteroidota; Bacteroidia; Marinilabiliales; Marinifilaceae
Description: contains 16S-23S intergenic spacer region
Source: RNAcentral
UCUCACCUUACGGUGGCAGUCCCGAUAGAGUGCCCAACUUAAUGAUGGCAACUAACGGUAAGGGUUGCGCUCGUUAUGGGACUUAACCCGACACCUCACGGCACGAGCUGACGACAACCAUGCAGCACCUUGAAAAAAGCUCCGAAGAGAAAAUAUGUUUCCAUAUCUGACUUUUCACAUUUAAACCCGGGUAAGGUUCCUCGCGUAUCAUCGAAUUAAACCACAUGUUCCUCCGCUUGUGCGGGCCCCCGUCAAUUCCUUUGAGUUUCAUCGUUGCCGACGUACUCCCCAGGUGGCUCACUUAAUACUUUCGCUUAAUCCCGUACUGUAUAUCGCACAGAACCAGUGAGCAUCGUUUACGGCGUGGACUAC